RNAcentral lists this ribosomal RNA (253 nucleotides) under uncultured bacterium. RNAcentral's name for it is "partial 16S ribosomal RNA". It matches the Rfam family "Bacterial small subunit ribosomal RNA", at positions 524 to 776 of the family's 1533-position model. The record is from RNAcentral.
UACGUAGGUUGCGAGCGUUGUCCGGAUUUACUGGGCGUAAAGAGCGCGCAGGCGGUCGUGCAAGUCGCGUGUGAAAGCCCCCGGCUCAACUGGGGAGGGUCACGCGAUACUGCUCGACUCGAAGGCAGGAGAGGGAAGUGGAAUUCCCGGUGUAGUGGUGAAAUGCGUAGAUAUCGGGAGGAACACCAGUGGCGAAGGCGACUUCCUGGCCUGUUCUUGACGCUGAGGCGCGAAAGCUAGGGUAGCAAACGGG